AUCUGCCACGCAAUUUUGCAUGUAGUGCUAUUAUAAAUACUCAUCCAACAAAGCUUUUCAACCCACAACAUUCCUGAUCUCUAAAGCAAUAGAAGUGCAAUAAUAACAAUCUAAAUUUGAUUUUUAUUAUUGCUCAUCUAUAACAAAAUGGCUUCCCUUUUCAACAUGAUUACCCUUGUAUUCCUUGCUCUCCUUUCUUCCCUUUUAAUCCAAGGCACCCUAGGAGAGGUAACAUGUGAGCAACUUAACAAGGAGGCGUGUGCAUUUGCUGUAUCAUCUAUUGGCAAGCGUUGUGUGCUAGAGAAGUAUGUGCGGAGGAUGGUUUGGAGGCAUACAAGUGCACUACAUCCGCCAUCGACACCGAUGAGCUCAAGGACAUGGUUGAAAGCAAUCAUUGUAUUGAAGCUUGUGGCCUAGACCGUGAUACCUUGGGAAUUUCUUCCGACUCUCUUCUUGAAUCUCGUUUACCCGAAAACUUUGCUCCCCACAGUGUUACCAAAAGUGCCCAAAUGUUGUCGAUCUCUACUUCAACCUUGCUGCUGGUGAAGGUGUAUUUCUACCCAAAUUAUGCGAGUCACAAAGUCAGAAUCCAAGGAGAGGAUUGUCCGAAAUAAAGAGCUCAGGAAUAGCAGCACCUGGACCAAUGUCAGGAGUUCAAACUGCACAAUUUUUGGGUGCUCCAAUUAGUUCUCUUGAGUUGGCCGACGCUCCAAUUGGCUCUCCUAUGACUUCCAUGGACUUGGAGAUAGAUAUUUUUGCUCCUGCUGAUGCUCCUGCUGCUGCUGCUCCUGCUGUUGCUGAUGCUCCUGCUUCUGCUGCUCCAGCUAUGCCUCCUUACUAGAUUCACACAUAUCUGAUUUUUCAGCUCAUUUGCGAGGAAAUAAUUAUUAUGUGCUUGGAAUAAGAACAAUAAAUUAGCAGUUAAGGCUAGAAUUCUGUUAUCUUUUGGAGUCUUAAUUAGUUAGGAAGUUACUUAUCAUGAAGUAUCGAUCACAUAAAUAAAUCAUUAUAUUGUACUGUGUUGCGUAACUUGGGUUGGAUUGGUAAAACAUUACCAUCACCAUCUAGCUACUAGCUUAUGGGACAUGUAUUGUUGUAGUAGUUUGUCUUGUGUUUUAGAUGUUUUGCUCGCUCGUGUAUAAUUAAAUUGAUUUUGGGAAAUAAAAUCUAUAUAUAUAUGCUUUGAGUGUGACA
RNA transcript from Beta vulgaris subsp. vulgaris (sugar beet), 1194 nucleotides. RefSeq lists it as hypothetical. The record is from RefSeq and is a predicted model, not a curated record. NCBI's taxonomy places the organism in Eukaryota, Viridiplantae, Streptophyta, Magnoliopsida, Caryophyllales, Amaranthaceae. The transcript has 3 exons.